GUAAGAAUAUUUGUAUUAACAAAUAUGAUCAUAUGUGAACUUGAUUUUUUUUUGUGCCAAUACGCUGCUACACGCCAUAAAUUUACAUUAUAUCCAUAAAGCAGACUGCUUGAGCCUGGAGGCCUGCGGUGCCUCGCAGAGGGCGGCGGCAGAUAUGGUCGGGGGCGGCUGGAGAGAUCGACUAGGGCGACUGGCUGGGUCGACCCGUGUCACUGUGUGACCCAUUGGGUUGCACGAUGCCGGCUCCACUGGACCCGUAUAUGUUUUGAGGCCAACGUACUUCACCCAUUGGCCUUGACUUUUUGGGUCGGGUCAGUGACCCAGCAGGCCGACCCGGCCCAUUCCCAUCUUGACUGAAUAGUACUCCUAACUCCAAUCCAAUCCUUCAGUUACUUGAAAGAUGCAUGAGAAGCUUGUCUUCCCAAUGUGCACAAUUGAAGUGAUGCAAGCAAUUGUUAUACUAGUAUCUCUUUUCCUGCCAGGGUUUGAGGUGUUUCCUUCUCCUCCAUGUUUGUUCUGUGAUAACAACUGGUGGUCCACAACAUUGAUCGCUCUGUAUGCAACUGGAAAUACCAUUUGGACAUGCUUGUGAAGGCCUAGAGCUUCU
Molecule: long non-coding RNA, 607 nt
Filed under: Hordeum vulgare
Lineage: Eukaryota; Viridiplantae; Streptophyta; Magnoliopsida; Poales; Poaceae
Description: long non-coding RNA (HVUL_LNC013653)
Source: RNAcentral